This 326-nucleotide ribosomal RNA is filed under the name uncultured fungus. RNAcentral's name for it is "SSU rRNA". It matches the Rfam family "Eukaryotic small subunit ribosomal RNA", at positions 39 to 370 of the family's 1831-position model. Lineage: Eukaryota; Fungi. The record is from RNAcentral.
AAAGAUUAAGCCAUGCAUGUCUAAGUAUAAGCAAUUAUACCGUGAAACUGCGAAUGGCUCAUUAAAUCAGUUAUCGUUUAUUUGAUAGUACCUUACUACUUGGAUAACCGUGGUAAUUCUAGAGCUAAUACAUGCUGAAAACCCCAACUUCGGAAGGGGUGUAUUUAUUAGGUAAAAAACCAACGCCCUUCGGGGCUUCUUGGUGAUUCAUGAUAACUUUACGGAUCGCAUGGCCUUGCGCCGGCGACGGUUCAUUCAAAUUUCUGCCCUAUCAACUUUCGAUGGUAAGGUAUUGGCCUACCAUGGUUCAACGGGUAACGGGGAAU